This 2668-nucleotide long non-coding RNA is filed under the name Musa acuminata (dwarf banana). RNAcentral describes it as "long non-coding RNA (MACU_LNC003717)". The record is from RNAcentral. Lineage: Eukaryota; Viridiplantae; Streptophyta; Magnoliopsida; Zingiberales; Musaceae.
UUUUUUUUCUUAGUCACUAUAGUGUCAUCUGCUACUUGUGGGAUUAUUUGUGUCAUGUCGUCCGCCAUUCGCAUGCCGAACCCAACUCUUUCGAUUGAUAUAUCUUAUCACCACAACCCUCAAAUGAUAAUCAAUAGGGUAUAUCGGAUGUCAUGCAUCAUGAUUUACAUGCUUCCACAAAUCUAUCGAAGAAAGAAGCUAAACUCUCAUCUCUUCCUAUUUUCAGAGCCACUAUAAUUCAUGAAAUAAAGAUCUAUCAAGAGAUAAAGAAGAAAUUUCUAUAAUCAUGAUCCAAAGAACAUUCUACCUAUAUAUAUAUAGGCAAGAACAAAAGAUCUAGAAAAGAUAAUUAUGAGUGUCCCUUCCAUCAUGUCAUAAGAAAUCCUAUCAUAAUUUUCUUUUUGUUGAUCGAUGAUCAUAAUUAGAAUCCAAUAAAAUUUAUAAUAUAUUUUACUUAAUUAAAUAUGAUCACAUAAUCCAAUAUUCUUAUUCUAAAUCUAACUUUAUUUGAACAUUUAAAUUGAUAACCCAUUAUAUGCAUGAUGUUCACUUUAAUACAUCAAGUGAAGUGGUUCCUCCACAUAAUGCUAGAGGAUGCUAUGAAUUCCAAAAAAAUAUUGAAGUAUAAGGAUGACCCCAAGGAGUUCUUUGAAUCUAUAAAAACAUUGGGAAUCAAAAAGUGAAGUUAGUGGCAAAGCAUGCUACUAUUUGUGGAGGAAAUCUAAAGUGAGAAUAUUUACUUAUUUGUAUGCUGAUUUGUGAUUGAACAUCAUGCACUCAAGCAUAUUUUACAACAAAGGAUAUUGCUACUUAUGAUGAUUUGAAAACUUUUCAUGAAUCAAGGAAAAAUGAGUUCCAACUCCUAUGCACCACCCACUAUUCUUUUCCUAUGUAAGAAUAGAAAUUCUUUAAAGAAAUAGAAACAACCUCAUUUCAUUGUCACAUCACACUAACCGAUCUCUAUUCAUCUAUCAUAAAGAUUGGAUUGUUUAAGGGAAAAUCUCAUCAACACUCCAAGAUCAAAUUUUGGUGUAUAUUCAUAUAUGUGCAGUGGAUCAUGAAGACAUCGUGAAGAGCUAUUUAUGGGGAAGUGGAAGUUCCAAUAAGAUUAGAUUAAUUCAUUAGUCCUCCCUCCACUUUCCUCAUGCUUGGAUGCGAUGCUUCCUCAAGAAUAUGGAAGAGUUCUAAAAGAUGGCUACACUGCUAAGGCUUAAAGUGUCCUUCGAGCCAAGUGAAAAGCCAUCUUGCAAGGAUUUAAACUUGUUAUCUAUGGUGGUCUCAAAGGUUUCUAGAUUCGAUCUAGAAGAAUUUAAAAUUCGAUCUUGGAAGGAAUACAUUGUGUUCUAUCUAUUAGAGCUCUAAAAGAUUUUGUUCUCCUUGGAACAUCAAGAGCAUUCUGAGUGAUUGUCUUUUGUUUAGCAACUCAGUAAGGAUGGGCAAACAAGGGAGGACAAUGGACAAGCUCCAGCUUAACUAUAUCAAUUCUCACAUUUCUUGGGAUAAGUUGGUGAUGUUUGUGCAGCACAAGAUGGAGCUACUUGGCAUACUGUAUAUAAAACUAUGGAAGUGUGACAAGAUACAAUCCUUCCAACUUUUAGUAAUAAUUAUUUACUAUGAGCAGGAUAGAAUAUUUAUCAAAUUAAUGGCUGAUCAGAAAUACUGAAUUGUUGAUUAAAGAUGUGAUUUUAUGUCCUAAAGUUUAAUUGUGAUUUUUUUCUUUGGAUAAAAUGUUUCUACAUCAUUUAUCACCAUUGCUAUACUUAAGUAGUUAGUACACUGAAAAUUUAUGAGAUUUUAGAUCAUCAAUUAUUAUAAAUUGAUUUUAUUUUAUAACUAAUGUAGAACAGGAAGAGAAAGAAGGUGAGAAAUGAAAAACAAGGAGGAGAAAUGAUGAAAAUUAUGAUCUAAUGAAAUAUAUAAAUUUUUAAUAAACAUAUUGAUACAAAAUUAUUGAACCAUCAAUUCCCUUUUUCCAUGGAAUCAAUUCUUUUCCCUAUGAAUUAUGCAUACUUUUUCUGCAUGGCCUAUUGUUUCUUGAGCAGAAUUCUACCUACAAAAACAUGCAGCUGUUGUUAGUUGAGUCCAUCCCAAUUGCUCAUCUUUCCCUAAGAUAUAAUUAUUCAUGACUCUUAUGAUAGCACAAUUUAUUCUCUCUCUCUCUCUCUCUCCAAUUAACAUUUCUGAGAUAGUUUCAAUGUCUCUCCACUUAAGAUUGAUUAAGAGAGACAAUCCAAAACUUUUGGCAUAAAUUUGUGGUAUUCACAAUGACCAACCAAAUUUGCUGUCAUUUUUUUUUUUGGCUUCAUAUUUCUUCAUCAGAAAGAUACAUAGAAGCUUAAGCUCCAUGCACUUGAAUCAUCAACAUGAUCAUCAUGAUUCUGUAUGCAGAAACAAACACAACCAUAUAAUCAAGUUUUAUGUCAACAAUAUGUUCCAGAAAACAAGCAUAUGGUACAUUAGCACCGCAUCUCAAUCCUUUCGGGCAAUCAACUCAUCUCACUAAAAAGAAAGCAACAGGUGAGAGAAAGAGAAGAGCAAAUCAUCAAGCACUAAGUUUCAGCAUUUCUUGGUCAAGCCACCCAUCUGCAAACCCAAACGCAAACAAAAUGACGUGAAUAAGAUCCAUACUGUAUUAGGAGUAGACUGGAGCGCCAUCAUCUCCGGGGAG